CACACCAACAACAGACUUGAAGUCUGUCUUUACCCCCCUCAUCUCCUCUCUCUCUCUCGUUUCCUUUCCCCCUCAAAACACAGAACAACACAAAGCCAAUCACCCACAACUCUCCUCACCCCACCCCCACCCACUCGACCUCAUCUCUCUCUGCGAUGAAGGCCGGCAGCCGGUUUGGUAAGUCCACCGGCGGUGGUGGAUACAGCAGUCAACGACCACUCACCACCUCCACUCUCCCUCUCGAUCCCCUUAUCGGCGAUGGUGAACUCGGACGAUAAGACACCCUCACACUCUCACCCUCUCGUCGCUCUCUCAGUUGCGAUGAAGAACACAGCCGGCUAAGGAGGAGCUGGUUGGCCAAAGAUGAUGGAGCCGUAGGUGCAUCGGCGGCAGCGGCAGCAACAACAGGGGAGGCGGCGGCGGUGAGAUUCACUGAUGACAAGGACCUGCUAAUGUAUCGAAGAUGUUUGAUGGUGACGGUAGUGGUGGUUAUUUACGGUUCCGAUGUCGUUCGGGCGUCACGGUUCGGUUCAGUCCACGCUAGUCAGUGGAUUCAGUAUGAUUCGACUUGGUUUCAGUUCACAUGGUUCAGCAAGUUCCAUGCUCGGUUCAGAUUUCGGUUCGGGUCUCGGGUUACGGGACAGAUUCUGAAGUGGUGCGGCCGACUCGGUCAAACCGAGCCAACUCAGUUGACUCGGUCAACUCAGCGAGUCGACUCGGUCAACAUCCCGACACGAAGACUUGGUAAAAAUUAACGUCACGUUUAUUUUGUUAUUUUUAUUAUAUUAUUACUCACGUGACAAACGAGCUCGAACCGAUAUAAAAUAACGUUUAGUUUA
This is a long non-coding RNA of Helianthus annuus (common sunflower), 839 nucleotides long. RefSeq lists it as uncharacterized. The transcript has 2 exons. Lineage: Eukaryota; Viridiplantae; Streptophyta; Magnoliopsida; Asterales; Asteraceae. The record is from RefSeq and is a predicted model, not a curated record.